CCCUUAGAUGUCCUGGGCCGCACGCGCGCUACACUGACAUGUUCAACAAGCCUCCUAGUUCGACAGGAUUUGGGAAAUCUUUGAACGCAUGUCGUGAUAGGGAUAGAUCAUUGCAAUUAUUGAUCUUGAACGAGGAAUUCCUAGUAAACGCGAGUCAUCAGCUCGCAUUGAUUACGUCCCUGCCCUUUGUACACACCGCCCGUCGCUCCUACCGAUUGAAUGUUCCGGUGAGCUCUUCGGACUGCGCGGUCUGCAGUUUCUGCGUUCCGUGCGGAAAGUUGCGCAAACCUUAACAUUUAGAGGAAGGAGAAGUCGUAACA
RNAcentral lists this ribosomal RNA (320 nucleotides) under uncultured eukaryote. Its description in RNAcentral is "partial 18S ribosomal RNA". It matches the Rfam family "Eukaryotic small subunit ribosomal RNA", at positions 1470 to 1796 of the family's 1831-position model. The record is from RNAcentral.